RNAcentral lists this ribosomal RNA (392 nucleotides) under uncultured bacterium. RNAcentral describes it as "partial 16S ribosomal RNA". It matches the Rfam family "Bacterial small subunit ribosomal RNA", at positions 523 to 918 of the family's 1533-position model. The record is from RNAcentral.
AUACGGAGGAUCCGAGCGUUAUCCGGAUUUAUUGGGUUUAAAGGGUGCGCAGGCGGCCAUUUAAGUCAGCGGUUAAAUCGUGGGGCUCAACCCCAUUCUGCCGUUGAUACUGGGUGGCUUGAUUGCGGUCGAGGUUGGCGGUAUUCGUUGUGUAGCGGUUGGAUGCAUAGAUAUGACGAAGAACACCGAUUGCGUAGGCAGCUGACCAGACCGCAAAUGACGCUCAUGCACGAAAGUGCGGGGAUCGAACAGGAUUAGAUACCCUGGUAGUCCGCACAGUAAACGAUGAAUACUUGUUUUCGGCGAUAUAAUGUCGGAGGCAAAGCGAAAGCGAUAAGUAUUCCACCUGGGGAGUACGCCGGCAACGGUGAAACUCAAAGGAAUUGACGGGG